This 468-nucleotide ribosomal RNA is filed under the name uncultured bacterium. Its description in RNAcentral is "partial 16S ribosomal RNA". It matches the Rfam family "Bacterial small subunit ribosomal RNA", at positions 28 to 507 of the family's 1533-position model. The record is from RNAcentral.
GACGAACGCUGGCGGCGUGCUUAACACAUGCAAGUCGAACGGAAAGGCCCUGCUUUUGUGGGGUGCUCGAGUGGCGAACGGGUGAGUAACACGUGAGUAACCUGCCCUUGACUUUGGGAUAACUUCAGGAAACUGGGGCUAAUACCGGAUAGGAGCUCCUGCUGCAUGGUGGGGGUUGGAAAGUUUCGGCGGUUGGGGAUGGACUCGCGGCUUAUCAGCUUGUUGGUGGGGUAGUGGCUUACCAAGGCUUUGACGGGUAGCCGGCCUGAGAGGGUGACCGGCCACAUUGGGACUGAGAUACGGCCCAGACUCCUACGGGAGGCAGCAGUGGGGAAUAUUGCACAAUGGGCGGAAGCCUGAUGCAGCAACGCCGCGUGCGGGAUGACGGCCUUCGGGUUGGAAACCGCUUUCGCCUGUGACGAAGCGGGAGUGACGGUAAUGGGUAAAGAAGCACCGGCUAACUACGUG